Molecule: long non-coding RNA, 200 nt
Organism: Thalassophryne amazonica
Lineage: Eukaryota; Metazoa; Chordata; Actinopteri; Batrachoidiformes; Batrachoididae
Exons: 3
Source: RefSeq, a predicted model, not a curated record
AACAAAACUAUGAUCUUAGAAUGUUUGUGUGUCUGACAUAAAGAAAAGUAAUUAUAGUUGUGGUCAGAAUUACUGGAACCCCUGUAUUUUAUGUGCACCUUUUAAAAUAUGGUCAGAAACGAAUGCAAACAAAGCAAUUUUGUUUAAUCAAAAUAUUUUUAAAAAUGUCCAAUGUUAUUUGGCAAUAAGAACAAAAUAAA